GGUACGAUUUGCCUGGUCCACGUGCGUCAGCACGCGAGUAUCGGAGCGAUUCUGCCAUCCUUCUAGCAAUCUGGCUAUACUUAACUGUGUGGUCAGCAUUCUAGAUCUUUUACUUUGAAAAAAUUAGAGUGUUUAAAGCAGGCUUGCGCUAUGAAUACAUUAGCAUGGAAUAAUAAUUUAGGACUUUGCUCCUAUUUUAUUGGCUUCUAGGGGUAAAGUA
Molecule: ribosomal RNA, 220 nt
Filed under: uncultured fungus
Lineage: Eukaryota; Fungi
Description: partial small subunit ribosomal RNA
Rfam family: Eukaryotic small subunit ribosomal RNA (bases 76-220)
Source: RNAcentral